GAUGAACGCUGGCGGCGUGCUUAACACAUGCAAGUCGAACGGACCUUUGAUGAAGCCUAGCGAUUUAAAGGUUAGUGGCGGACGGGUGAGUAACGCGUGGGUAACCUGCCUAUCAGAGGGGAACAACAGUUAGAAAUGACUGCUAAUACCGCAUAUGCCUAAGUACCACAUGGUACAAUAGGGAAAGGAGCAAUCCGCUGAUAGAUGGGCUUGCGUCUGAUUAGAUAGUUGGUGGGGUAACGGCCUACCAAGUCGACGAUCAGUAGCCGGACUGAGAGGUUGAACGGCCACAUUGGGACUGAGAUACGGCCCAGACUCCUACGGGAGGCAGCAGUGGGGAAUAUUGGGCAAUGGGGGAAACCCUGACCCAGCAACGCCGCGUGAAGGAAGAAGGCUUUCGGGUUGUAAACUUCUUUUAAGAGGGACGAUAAUGACGGUACCUCUUGAAUAAGCCACGGCUAACUACGUG
RNAcentral lists this ribosomal RNA (469 nucleotides) under uncultured bacterium. Its description in RNAcentral is "bacterial SSU rRNA". It matches the Rfam family "Bacterial small subunit ribosomal RNA", at positions 28 to 507 of the family's 1533-position model. The record is from RNAcentral.